RNAcentral lists this transfer RNA (79 nucleotides) under Neisseria meningitidis. Its description in RNAcentral is "tRNA-Leu". It matches the Rfam family "tRNA". From Rfam's summary of the family: Transfer RNA (tRNA) molecules are approximately 80 nucleotides in length. Their secondary structure includes four short double-helical elements and three loops (D, anti-codon, and T loops). The record is from RNAcentral. Lineage: Bacteria; Pseudomonadati; Pseudomonadota; Betaproteobacteria; Neisseriales; Neisseriaceae. RNAcentral also lists the same sequence under 1 other name.
GUGGCGAAAUUGGUAGACGCACCAGAUUUAGGUUCUGGCGCCGAGAGGUGUGAGAGUUCGAGUCUCUCCGUCCGCACCA